AUUCUCAGCCACCUAUCAAAUUAUCCGGAGAGUUUCGCUACGCACAGGAUGAUAGUCCUAUCCUGUAUAGAUUGGGGUUGGAUCCUCUACGCUUCAAGCUGCAUAUGCAUAUAUUCCUUAUGCGAAAUUUCAACCUAAGCGGUUCGUUCUUUGUUUUCAAAGUUUCUUCCUUACUUGAUACAUCUAUCGUGUGGCCGAUGAAUUGGAAGUUGUGGAGAACUUACUGGCAGGACCAUUAAAGUUAGUUCACUUUAUUCUGUGAAGAGUCCAAGACUUCGUUCAACGUCUGCAAAACUACGUAGGACAAAGGGAUGAAGAAAUAGUUAACUUGGAAGGUUGGGUUGUCCGUUUUCCAGAAGACGUCUUUUAAUUCGCAUGAUUCUUCCACUUUCUGUAAUCCGGAAACAUAAAUCGACGGGAGCUCGGCACGAGAGAAGUAUACAGAUUGAUCGUCCGUAAAGGGAAAAACGCUGGGAAGCCGAUACAGACACCAUAUUUUCCCUCGAUCUCAAGAUAUCGCAGUCCCCUCUCGUUCUCUAUCUACAAAACGGGAACGAAAGCGUUUUGUCUUAUCCAGAACAACGUCGACGGGGUCAACAAUUUUGCCAGAAGAAGAUAAACGUGAAUUCAUUCAACGUUCUCCAAGCGUCUAGACACGUAGAUAGAGACACCUUAUCUCUAGGUAUAAAUCGAUAUAGGGACACAGGUCUAACACUAUGAGCUCGUAUCGAUAUCGAAUCAGGAUGCUCGAGAUUUAUGUUGGAUUUUAUCCUUGAUCAAACGGGUACUAGCUACGAGAGUGCUACUGUAGCAAAAAUAUAUUAAAUCGCACCACGUGAAAGUGAUGGACCGGCCGACUCCGUUCGUAGAGAGAUUUGCAAUAACGUUUGACCUUUUGACACGUGGUACGUUGAUGGCAUAUUAUGUGACCCAGGAAUUACCUCAGGGCAUUUGUACAAGUUUCUGAUCCCCCACGGAAUAAUGACCGAUAACAUUAAUCCGACCAGUCCUGGAGGAGCAGAACUUGAUUAAUUAGCGCGGGAGAGACCUUUUCCUGCGGACGCAACCUUGUGUCUUUAAGACUGACGUCAUUACGUGAGUAUAUGGCGAAUUAUUUGGAAUUUAUGGCCCGCUAGGAUCACUUUACUUCCUUAUGAUAUCGGCAAGCGGACGGAAGCAGGAAUUUGAGAAGAAUGGUUUCUUCUCGGGGCGAUGGGAAAUAAAAUGAAAGGAGGAGUAGAAGCGUGUGGAGUUAUCGAGAAUUUAGGAGAGAAGAAAGAAUUCAGGAAGCGGUACAAAGAAGAAUACGGUUAUAGAAAUUUACGAGAAUCCAUCGCUCUUGUGGAAACGCACUUUAUGGCGGUGACUGAGUAUUGCGCGUUAACCCAGAUUUACAUGUUCGUAAAGCCAACAGUCAUCAACGAGUCUUUCGCUCUUAGAAAAUACUCUAGAAACUAAGUCAACUGGUCCACGACCUCAGCUCUGCCAUUUGCCUCAGGUGAAAUAGAGUCCCUGUAUGCUAAAACGUGAUAUUAACAGAGCAUUAAGGAGGGUUAGGUCAAUAUUGUUCUUAGACACUAAUUGCUAUAUUAUAAUUCUCAUGUAUGAUUUCAUUAUCAGGGAAUCGGAAGCGACUCUUGACCUUCUGGUGUACCCACAUGAGACCCAGCUGAAUAAAUAAACAGAGAGCUCAGCAAGAAGCAAACAAACUGGAUUCCUGGUGAGAACAGGUGGCUAAAAUAGGACUAGACAGUACUCUACAAGCAGACACCCUCUAAGCCAAGUUCCCAGCAUCGGGUUGAUGUAGAGGGUGAGCUAAAAGGUGAUGAUAAUACUGGUCCCCCAGUGAGAAAAUGUUCUUCAUUACGUAGAGUGCUAUUAUCAUUGAGAAGAAAAUGUCCCAGGGUGUACCAUGAGAGUUGGUACAGUACUGUACUUCAGAGGUAUAGCUUAGUACGAGACCAAGAGGGUUGAGGUACUGUGUGGUUCAAACUCAACAAGCUUCUUUGGCAUCAGGACUCUACCUCAAAGAUAGAAAUAGCCCUGUAUAUGACUUAUCAAGUAAUUAUGUUACUGAGCUCGUGAAACGAUGGAAAUGAUCAUCCAGUAAUUGUGUUUUGUUAACAAGUGCAAAGAUUAGUGACGGCUGCCAUGAAACAGUAAAGACUAGAAGAGAAAACCCAUGUAAAUAUAUAACCUCUAAAGUUGUCUGGGACGCUCCUGAAGAAACUUGAUAUGAGUUGGGGUUAAUUGUGGGGUGUUACUCUGGAAUAGUUAUAGGGGUUAAAUUUUUUACAAGAAUGCCUGGAAUACGGCGGCUCUUACUCUGUAAGAAUAAUGAACAAUGAACGUUUAAAAAAGAUAUUUUGGCUAGACAACUGCCGUUCAUCAUGUGAACUUGGCUUCGUCUUCGGUAUGCUGGUGUAUGUGCAACUAACCAUACUGUAUAGCUUAGUAGUAUAUUAUCAGCAGAAUGAAGUAAACGUGCCUUCACGAAUUUUUCAUUUUAAAUGCCGAGAGAAAAUAGCAUGGUGUUGUGCGGAUAUAUAUUGGUGCGCCACAUAAUACUGCUUGUCUAAAUAUAUCGUGUGGGGUCCCGUGGUAGGGGUGAGAAAUUUAAUAUCGUUCGGCUGCAGCUACGAGGGUGACAGGAGACCCUCUGCAAAGGUCUCAACAUCUCCGCCGUAAUAUUGAACAAUAUUCCGGCUACAGGGUAUACGAGUUGGCUGCUGGUCAUGAAGGGCUGAUGAGCAGUGUACUACUAUUACCAUACGAUACUAUUGACGAAUCGGAGGAAUGAAAAUUCAAAGGAAACCGGACAAUCGAAUCGUGACGCGUGAAGAAUUUUAAUCUAAUCAGAAUGCUCCGUCACGGAUGUGAUGCAAUUGAAGAAGCGCUGACAAAGCUGAAUACAAAGUAACGGAAUUGACGUUUGUAGACCCAAGUAUUUGGGAUGCUGGCUUCGUUCGAUGCUGUUACGGGCUUUCAUGCAAACACGCCUACAGCCAGGACCAAACUACCCGGACCCAGCAUCCUUCCUGAUUGUAUCCAGCAGAUCGGGCAGGAAGAGCAUUUCUAGUAAACGAGGAAACUUAAUUGUUAAUGGAACGCUUAAUUAAAAGGAGCAGGGGCGAACCUGGUAUACGUGUAUAGGCUGUGGCAGGGAUCCCGAAGCGAUUCAGAAAAUGGCCAGGAUCUCGUUCAAUGCGCCGUUUAUAAAUGGCUGAAGAUAGCAGCAAUUUGCGGAGAUUUAUAAUAAAAAGGGAGAGCGAGAGAGGGGUUGGAUGGACGAUAAAGUAAGGGAUGUACCCAGGUAUCAAAACGCCUGUGAUUUCCAAGAUGAAGAGGAAGUGGAACGAGCAGCCACUCACGCAAUUAACACAGCUUCCAAUAGCCAGAGGGAAAGACUGUGGAGUAGAUCCUCUGGUGGAUUCUCGACGUGCAGCUGUCCUUCCGUUUUAUUCACGUUAAUGAGAAACGUCUGAAGAAUCAAGAUCCUGUGCAAGAGACAACAUUUUUAUUCAUAAGGAUACACUCCUGACCGAAUGACUCCUGAGACGAGGUCAAGUCGAGGCAAUAUCAUUUUUCAAACCAUAACACACGAUGCGCGAAGACACUUGGAAACGUCUAAAACGACUUUCGCCUUUUAACUUCCUAUAAGUUCGUCGAGGAUGUACGUAUGUACCACCUGUUACGACGUAUCGCUCGUUUACACUUCCUCAAUAAAUUACUGGUUUAAUACGUCUGCAGUUCUACACAUAUGCGAGAUACAAGUACUUACCAGGAGCCUGAAAACGGUAUUCAUGAUUCAAUGAAAUACUUGGUGUGAAAAUUCAUAAGAGUACUUCUUAAUGAGAGGAUGAAUAAACGAAACAAAAAUUCUCCUAGAAGUUCUAGGGUCUUUUUUUUGGCUCUCCACUAAAUGAAUGUCAGGACGAUUUAAUUAUCUAAGAGCAACAUUCACUGCCACAGUGGGAAAUUGUAGAGAUACAGUGUAUCAACUUCUCGCGUGUUUAUGCCAACACAAGUUAAAUUACUAAUUGCAACCGAAUCGAAUAUAGUAUAGAUAUCAUAGAUAACAGUGUGUGGGUUUCUCUUAAUUAAAGGUGCAGUCCAUUAAAAUUAUUAGAUACUGGACAGCGCCCUAGUAAGGUUUGCCUGGGAUAUUAACUGAUGCACUUACUCCAAGCAAGUUGCAUGCUCCAAAUAUGGCUUGAUAAAUAAAAUAUAAUUUCAUGAGUACGACAGCCACGUAUCCUCCAGACGUUUUACGUCGGUCUGGAGGUAUAAAUAUGAUAGGAUACAUAAAAAAAAUGUAUGCACAAGAUGAGUGUAGCGACUAAAGUAUCUGGUGUAAAACUGAUCCAGUGAAAAACGUUACGUUGGUUGACUGAAGGAGGAGAAAAGGGAACAAAGGUGUCUAACGGGACUUAAAGGAAAAAGAAUUUUCAGGUAAACUCACCUGUCUGCCAGUUCAUUCAAUGUAUGACGGUUCUCAUGUCACGACUUUGAGAAUCUCUGGGAUUUCCAGUUUCUUUUGACCUGUUGAGCCAGCAACGAAGUUCGUUAAAAUUCACUCAACGGUUUUCUCAUUGAACCGGAGCUCGUAAAUAUACCCCAAAUUGUCGACGCCCUUAGACUGAAUUAUCGUAGCUGGAUUUCUUGAUUAAACAGAAUAUCUUCAAGACUUGGUACUAGAAUGUUAUCAACCACCAGGAAGUCAUUGGGCAUAGUGAGAGUUUCUAUUCGCCAUUAGAGAAUGCAGGUCGAGGUUGACAAAUGUUAACAUAGUUUGUCCAUCGGAACUAACAGGUAGAACCAUCAGUGCAAACCCGAUGGUGGUGCCGGGACGAGGAGGGAAGCUGUAUCGAUUGGACGCUUCGCCAGGGAGCACCACCUUCGCAUCCCCAACCUUCAUCCUCCUCAUCCUAAUCCACAUUUUCUUCCACGUCCACCACCCGUUACUACGUUAGGCUAUUGUUUCUGCAGGACACUCAAAAGGUAUACCGACAGUAGUACAGACUUUGUAAGCACCUGGUUAAGGCAAGGUACCACACCGUGUAGUUGCCAACUUGAUAACACACUUCCCCACUCUAUAUAUAGGUAUCAGGAAACUCGUAACGUGCGUACGAGAUUUACCAGUGAUAUCAAGACUAAGGAAAUUAGCAUUUCAAACAGGUUUGCUACGCUCUUCACGUUGGGUUGCGCAAACCUAACCUCUACUGAAUUCAAUCCCUCGACAGUACUGCAGCAACAGCAUAAUGAACCCUCAUGCUUCUAUAUAUGCUCUUAUAACAAGCUUCUUGAAUUCCAAUAACUUUCCAGGAAAUUUUUGGCUAAUGUACAGUAUGUUAGCGUUCAGUUAAUAACAUGGCAGAUCGGCCCUUGACGUUCACUGAUGCAUUUUAAUACUCUGCUGCUACUGAGGCAGACGUGAAACGAGACAUCGGAAAAUCUCACUGUGCUAUUACGUUGGGACUGACGGUUCUACCCCUAUUAGAGGUUCUCUCUAGGUAAGACGUUAUUAAGAGACGAGGGGGACGUGCGAAGGAUCUCUCGAGGACUAUUUGGAGCACUUGGCCUUCUGAUAAGACUUCCGGAAUUCGUGGGAACGGAUAAAUAUUUUGAAAAAGAGAUACACUGCGUCCCUUUGCUUCUUCUGCCAUGUUAAGAAACAAAAAGGAUCCUACAAAAACUCUGGAAGCUGGGCAUUAUUCUUUUUCCUACCACUUAAGUAAAACAUUUUCCAUUGGCGCUGGACCGUUGAUAAAGAAAAAGGGUUGGCAACGGAAUUCUCAUCAGUAAGAAUAUCCACUUUCUUUUGGAAGGUAUUCAAGAGAAACCUUAGUGGUCCUGGUAGCUCUUUCACAGGAAACACCUCUAUUUCAACUCAUACUGUUGUCCCAGUAACUCUGUACAAUAGCUAUAAUUUAUUAUAACUUUAGUAAAACUAAGAUAAUUUUUGUUAUCUUGGUACAGUCAUUCAAGUAAUUUUGUUAAAACAAUGUAUAUCAUAUUUAGAUUCAAAGAUAACCUAAUAAUCUAUAAACUCGAAUGACUGUACUUAGACUUAAUAUAAAUGGCGCAAAGUGUGUGCACUAGUUCAAUGCGAAUCAUGGAAUUGUGACGUAGAUUAAUUCAGUAAUCAGAAACGGAACCCAGUCGCUUGGUAAAAGGGACAUACGCAUACAGGCAAAAGUCUCUUGUAUAGAUGAAAGUGGAAAAAAAUUUAAUUCGCAUGGCUUGUCUGUACAUUGUUAUCUCGAAACAUGACGUGGUGCACCAGACUGUAAAAUUUAAGAUUAUGAACUGUUGACUAGACCGAGUAAAGAGAAAAAGCAAAAUAAUAGUCACCGUGCCGUUAUAUUAAAGAAUAUAAGUCUUUGCCAGAUGUCUGGGAUUCGAAAAAUAAUGGUCGGUACUUGGUUCAGUGGAUUCGCUGAAAGUCCUAGGACGCAAAACAACCUAUUUAACGCUUGAGAGUAGGUAGGUUAACAAGAUGAAUCAAACCAGUUUCCUUAGUAGCCGUCUUGCGACGAACAUAUUUCAAAUUUCAUAAUUGAACUCCAUCCUGCAUUGUUGAACACGAGAGGGAGCACGGAUGCUUCGCAAUAUUGGAAUUCAAAGACGAACCAGUGCGUUCCUGGUUCGCACCCUGUAUACGUACAUAAAAACCGCGCAUACCUAGACUGUCCACCGUACAAUUGGUAAUGAGAAAACUUGCGCUGUUACUUAUUCAUAUGUACGUAUUAACCAUACUAUGCAUUUCGCAUACUGUAUAAUAACAAAGAUCUCGAGCAAACGUGUCGCCCUCUGUUGGGAAUUAUUAAAAGCACUGGUGCAAAGCGACAUAACUGACACGAAGCGACACUGUGUAUAAAGCAUAAGUGCGUUCAGGAUAAGUUAGGCGAUGAUAACACCAGGGUCCUUUACAAUUUUGUAUGGUAUCAAGGUAAAGCCAGGGUGAUUUUUUAAUAUUAAUUGUGAUGAUCAAGAGAGGAUUAUCAGUCUAAAUUCAUCUAAGGGUAUCCAUAUUGGUACCCCCACUCUUAUUGCCCUGAUUUUAUUAACCCUUAUACGACAAUGUACACUUAUGAGAGCAAAUCUGAUCCUUGUUAACCGACGGAACUGGAAACUCCUCAGGAGAAUUCGUAUUAACCGUUUUUAAUCGUCCCUUUCACCCUGGAGAAAUUUCACGUCGAAGGCGUGGCUCCAGGGGGUUGCGAGGCAACGACACCCCGUGACCUCAAGUUCUUCGCGUCUCCAGACUUGCUUCGUUCUUCGCUUGUUCUCGCCACGGCAAGAUUCUCUUCCGUAACUCAAUUAUGCAAAGAGACGUAUAAUAAUUGCUAUUGCGUCAUCGGAAGUUCCUUUUCAUUCAAGGUUCACUUCGGUAACGCUCAUUUGGGUUUCAUGAUAUUCAGCUAUACAGAAAAUUGAGAUCUCAAGUACUUCCGGUGGAAAUUUGAAAAUCUCUAUUUUCACGGAUACGUCCUAUGUAAACUUCUAAUCUUAUAUCUAUAAGGACUCUCAUAUCUAUACGUAUGUGUCAUAUGAGUAUGCAGAUACUUUACUGUAUAUAUGUUCAUGAAUGCGACGACCCUUAUUCGACGUCCUUAUAUGGCACAUACUAUAUGCAGAUAGAAGACAGAUGUCAGAUCAGGCUGGAAUUUUGAUUUAUGAAAAGAGAGAGGAACGUGGCAGCAAAUAUAAAUCUUCAUCUGUACAUAUGUGACUGUAGGUAUAUAGUAACUCAUAUAUCACUACCGUAGGUGAUGUCCGUCUAUGUCUAUUUUACAUUGCCAUGAUAAAUUUUUGCAGAUCUGACCGUGGUCCUGAGUGUCAAUGGAGCACGUGUUCUUUGUCUCAUAGCACGUGCAAGAAAUAUACAACGCGUUUGCCUAUAGUACAAUCUUCUUUUAAUCUAAAUAACAAAUGAAAGUCACGCAAGCUAAAGAAUCGAUGACAAUCGAGAACAUGGGGUUUUAUGUAUUGAAAGAUAACAGAGGGAGAAAAAUUUCAAUCGCGAUAUUCGAGAUUUAUACACCUACAUAUUUUUUAAAUGUAUUUCUUUUAUCUUCAAAUACGUAAGAGACAGUUUAUUGUAAAAUACGUCGUAUGCUAAAUUUCCAUUGCUAAAAGUCUCUCAAAGUCUCCCUGCUCUCGGGCACAAAGCCGUUUCUCAUCCGGUAUGAAAUACUUCAGUUAUAUUUAUGCAUGUCAGAUUUAUCAUGGAAUAAAAACUCCUGCUAGACGGUAUCAGGGAUUAAUAUACAUAAUGCCUCAAUCGAUAUCUGUACGAAAUAUCAAAAUCGUCUAGUGAUAAUAUUUUAGAUUUUUUUUUUGUCAGGGUACGUGCAGCCAGGUAGUAUUUGUGGUCAGUGUCGUGUCAGACGCUAUACACGUCACGGUAUCACGAUAUAUGUAUAAAUAGGUGUUAUACACAGUCAUGUAUAUAUGCGUGCAUAUAUAUAUAUAUACCAACUCCCUUUCUCUCUGGGAUACUGCUGUGUGCUUUCAUGACUUAUUUAGCGUCCAUCAUUGUUAAUCACUUCAGCCAUUAUCGGAAUAUCAGCGUGCGUGUCUCACAGGAUCCUGAGUCUUUCCGUUGAG
This is a long non-coding RNA of Cephus cinctus (wheat stem sawfly), 8613 nucleotides long. RefSeq lists it as uncharacterized. The record is from RefSeq and is a predicted model, not a curated record. The transcript has 9 exons. Lineage: Eukaryota; Metazoa; Arthropoda; Insecta; Hymenoptera; Cephidae.